RNAcentral lists this long non-coding RNA (508 nucleotides) under Ananas comosus (pineapple). RNAcentral describes it as "long non-coding RNA (ACOM_LNC028099)". The record is from RNAcentral. Lineage: Eukaryota; Viridiplantae; Streptophyta; Magnoliopsida; Poales; Bromeliaceae.
CGGUAACAAGCCACAAAACCCUAAACCCUAAACCCUAAGCCUCCGUUUGGUUCGGGGUUAAGGAAAAAGUAGCUAUUCCAGGGAUAAAGUUAAGUUCAGGGUUAAAGUGGGGUUAAAGUUUUUUUGUGUUUCGUUGGGGGUUGGAGUUAGUCUAGAAUAAUGAAAAAUAGUGUUUGGUUGGGUAGGUGGGAUAAGAAGAUAAUGAUUGAUAAAGAAGGAUAAUGAUUGGUUGGAGUAGGUGUGAUAAGAAAGAUAGUGGGUUAUUAUGAAUAGAAAAUAGUGUUUGGUUGGAGUUUGGUGGGGUUAGGUGGGGUUAGCUAACCCGGGAUAAUUUAUUUGAGGUGGGGUUAGGUGGGGUUAGCUAACUCCACCUAUUUUUUGGGGUGUUUGGGGAUAAAAUGGGGGUUAAGGGGUUAUUCCACCCCUUAACUCCCAACCAAACAAGGGCUAAAGCACCUACUAACUCUUCGACUUUCAUCUCAUCUAGAUGCUUAACGGUUUCAAUCGU